CCUACGGGCGGCAGCAGUGAGGAAUAUUGGUCAAUGGCCGGAAGGCUGAACCAGCCAUGCCGCGUGAAGGUCAGUGCCCUAUGGGCGUUAAACUUCUUUUGUGCGUGAGCAAUAAUGGUCACGUGUGGCCAGACGAGAGUACCGUACGAAUAAGCAUCGGCUAACUCCGUUCCAGCAGCCGCGGUAAUACGGGGGAUGCAAGCGUUAUCCGGAUUUAUUGGGUUUAAAGGGUGCGUAGGCUGUGAGGUAAGUCAGCGGUGAAAUGCCCACGCUCAACGGGGUGAAGUGCCAUUGAUACUGCCUGGCUGGAAUGCGGAUGCCGUGGGAGGAAUGUGUGGUGUAGCGGUGAAAUGCAUAGAUAUCACACAGAACACCGAUUGCGAAGGCAUCUCACGAAUCCGCGAUUGACGCUGAUGCACGAAAGCGUGGGUAUCAAACAGGAUUAGAUACCCUAGUAGUC
RNAcentral lists this ribosomal RNA (460 nucleotides) under uncultured bacterium. RNAcentral's name for it is "partial 16S ribosomal RNA". It matches the Rfam family "Bacterial small subunit ribosomal RNA", at positions 338 to 795 of the family's 1533-position model. The record is from RNAcentral.